AGCUGCUUUCUCCAUGGACUGUCGGGGUGCGUGGUUGUUUAUAUAGAAUAAGACACAGACGGCGUGGUGGAGCACAUUUCGAUAGGUAGCAGAAAUCGCCUCAACACCUGUUGGAUGUACCGGAGAAGCACGUGCAGUGAGAGCCCAUAACCAAUGAUGAACUGAACAGCUCUUUGUAAACCCUGAGGACACUGAAAAAGGACCGGAACUAGGAUGAUUUUCUGUGGGCUCAACAUCAGAGAAAGGUUGUUCAAGCUCAGGAUGGAUGAGCUCAGACUGACCUGAGAGGGAAAGACCAAACAUGUGGCACAGUGUGAGCUGGACUACCGCACUGGGAAUCAACACAGGCAGGUUCUACGCCUCUGUGUGCUCGCUGGAGGGAGGUGAGAAGAGACAGAAAGAGGCAUAAGCUGAAGAAAAAGUAGCAGAUAUAGACAGAUAGAUACUGCAUGGAAUACAUUAUGGAAACUUGCUAAUAACAGUGCUAAUGUCUUGUAAAGCCUUCAUACUUGGCUGGAUUCUUUGUUUUAGAGCACAGACAGGAAUACUUUGAAGUUGCCUCUCCAAUGAAGAAAGGUGGCCGGUGUUAAAAGUCAUUCUUAAGUGCGGCUCUGAUGAUCCAAAGUUGUUCAAGCGACGGGGGGAAACGGUGCCAUACCUAUGUAACAUUCAUAUCAUUUGAAUUAUAAAUCAGAGUAAGGAGAAGUCUAUGUUCGGAGCUGAUGAAUAUUUAAGGCAUUGAGUAUACAGAUCAUCAUAUUGACAAAGGGAGAAUACUAAUGUCCUCUUCUCUGAGUCUGAUUAGAGGUUAAGCAGAAUGCAAACUGCAUAAUUUAUUUCCAUUCUUGCAUUUUUGUACCUUUUGAUUUGACUCCUCUUCUCUUUUUUUUGAUAACUUCUUUGUGCAGAGGUCUUUUCCUUUUUAAAAGUAAAAUAUGCUGAGAUAGGUGUGGCAUGCAAAUGAGGGAUAAUUGGUGUCAUUUGUUUUAAGCUUGCAGAAGAGAGUGAAAGAUGUACUUUCUUUGUGCAGAGGACUUUUCUUUAGAAAUAUUAGUCUUCCAUUUUCUGCAGCAGUUGACAUCCUCAGAGUGCCUGCUGUCCCCACUGACACAGACAAUGUCCACAGUCUAUUAAAUUGAAUGUUGUAUUUAACUGGUUUGCAGCCAGGGCAAAGUUACACUCUUUUGUAUCCUUCUUUCUCCUCUCUCUGGUGGAAUGUGCUUAUUUCACAGAGAGAGAGAGAGCCCAUGCAGGUGAGAGUGUCUAACAGUGAGGAAAUCAAUAUGAUGUAAAUUAUUAAGAGCUCAGGAAUGCGUCUGACCCCUACUGUCUUGCAGCAGGCUGGGCUCUGAAGGCUGGCAGGUGGACGCGAGCUUGGACUCUCCCUCUAACACUCAUUAGUGGCUGGGAGCCGGGGCUCCUUGUGAGUGGGAAGGCAGGGAUCACAGCGGGGAAGUGAUGGCCCAGGCCUCUCACAUCCCCGGCUCAGCCUUCGCUCCGGCUCUUGCCAGCCUCUCCCUGGAAGCUCAUUAGUAAGUGCACUGAUGCAUAAGAGCUAGUCAUUAGCUGGGCUCUUUUUUUUUUCUGUCUUCAUCUCUCUUUCCCCCCGACACCGUGUCUGAUCCUGAAGACCGGUGGCAGUGGUGGUUUAAAAGACGAAGAGAGAAGACGUCCACAUUACCGCAGGUACUCCAGAUGUAUGGAUAUGAGACAAUGGUAGCCAUCAGAUGAUUUUUUUUCCCUCUUUCCAAGGGUUUAGGGUGGGGGGUGUCAAUUUCUUCAAAUGGACUCCAUCCACAGCCCUUCAAACCAAAGAGUAAACAUUAGCGCUUGACCAGGACUUUGGCUGAGCGCCCCUUUCUUCCUCCAUGCUUGGUUUUGAUCUGGGGUAUUUGCUUUUGCUGCUGGCCAGAUCCCCCUCAGCACCUGAUGGUUGCCUAGGCUCAGAGUAAAUAAGAUCUAGGGGGCCCAGGCCUCUUCGGGGGCUGCUGGGUAAAUAAGGUCUCUGGUGUGUGUAGCGUGCCUGGCAGCAGGGUGAGCACUGGUGUGGAGGCCUCCAGAGACACGCCACCCCCCACCCCCCCUUUCCUAUAUCUAGCUGCUUAAUUCUGUUAUCCCCUCUCUCUCUCUCUCUCUCUCUUUAACUUCAUUCUCCCUCCUCUUUCACCGACACACAAACACAAACCUCCCUCUCAGCAGGCGCUCUGAUUAAUGUUGGACUCAUGAACAUUUACGGCUUCUGAGGCACUUGCAGCAAGACCCGUACGUGUCUGAUAUUACGGAAUUAACUUCUUAUGAUUGGUUAAAGCAGGGGUGUCAAACUCAAGGCCUGGGGACCAAAUCCGUCCUGUGAGGUCAUAUC
Long non-coding RNA from Cheilinus undulatus (humphead wrasse), 2362 nucleotides. RefSeq lists it as uncharacterized. The transcript is spliced from 3 exons. NCBI's taxonomy places the organism in Eukaryota, Metazoa, Chordata, Actinopteri, Labriformes, Labridae. The record is from RefSeq and is a predicted model, not a curated record.